RNAcentral lists this ribosomal RNA (253 nucleotides) under uncultured bacterium. RNAcentral describes it as "partial 16S ribosomal RNA". It matches the Rfam family "Bacterial small subunit ribosomal RNA", at positions 524 to 776 of the family's 1533-position model. The record is from RNAcentral.
GACAGAGGGUGCAAACGUUGUUCGGAAUUACUGGGCGUAAAGCGUGUGUAGGCGGCUUUGCAAGUCGGAUGUGAAAGCCCCGGGCUCAACCCGGGAAGUGCACUCGAUACUGCAGAGCUUGAGUGUCGGAGAGGUUGGUGGAAUUCUCGGUGUAGAGGUGAAAUUCGUAGAUAUCGAGAGGAACACCGGCGGCGAAGGCGGCCAACUGGACGAACACUGACGCUGAGACACGAAAGCCAGGGUAGCGAACGGG